RNAcentral lists this ribosomal RNA (533 nucleotides) under Bacillus toyonensis. Its description in RNAcentral is "bacterial SSU rRNA". It matches the Rfam family "Bacterial small subunit ribosomal RNA", at positions 91 to 609 of the family's 1533-position model. Lineage: Bacteria; Bacillati; Bacillota; Bacilli; Caryophanales; Bacillaceae. The record is from RNAcentral.
GUUAGCGGCGGACGGGUGAGUAACACGUGGGUAACCUGCCCAUAAGACUGGGAUAACUCCGGGAAACCGGGGCUAAUACCGGAUAACAUUUUGAACUGCAUGGUUCGAAAUUGAAAGGCGGCUUCCGCUGUCACUUAUGGAUGGACCCGCGUCGCAUUAGCUAGUUGGUGAGGUAACGGCUCACCAAGGCAACGAUGCGUAGCCGACCUGAGAGGGUGAUCGGCCACACUGGGACUGAGACACGGCCCAGACUCCUACGGGAGGCAGCAGUAGGGAAUCUUCCGCAAUGGACGAAAGUCUGACGGAGCAACGCCGCGUGAGUGAUGAAGGCUUUCGGGUCGUAAAACUCUGUUGUUAGGGAAGAACAAGUGCUAGUUGAAUAAGCUGGCACCUUGACGGUACCUAACCAGAAAGCCACGGCUAACUACGUGCCAGCAGCCGCGGUAAUACGUAGGUGGCAAGCGUUAUCCGGAAUUAUUGGGCGUAAAGCGCGCGCAGGUGGUUUCUUAAGUCUGAUGUGAAAGCCCACGGCU